RNAcentral lists this ribosomal RNA (253 nucleotides) under uncultured bacterium. RNAcentral's name for it is "partial 16S ribosomal RNA". It matches the Rfam family "Bacterial small subunit ribosomal RNA", at positions 524 to 776 of the family's 1533-position model. The record is from RNAcentral.
UACGUAUGGUGCAAGCGUUAUCCGGAUUUAUUGGGUUUAAAGGGUGCGUAGGCGGAUUGAUAAGUUAGAGGUGAAAUGUCCGAGCUCAACUCGGGAACUGCCUCUAAUACUGUUGAUCUAGAGAGUAGAUGCGGUAGGCGGAAUGUAUGGUGUAGCGGUGAAAUGCUUAGAGAUCAUACAGAACACCGAUUGCGAAGGCAGCUUACCAAUCUAUAUCUGACGUUGAGGCACGAAAGCGUGGGGAGCAAACAGG